GACGAACGCUGGCGGCGUGCUUAACACAUGCAAGUCGAACGGAAAGGCCCUGCUUUUGUGGGGUGCUCGAGUGGCGAACGGGUGAGUAACACGUGAGUAACCUGCCCUUGACUUUGGGAUAACUUCAGGAAACUGGGGCUAAUACCGGAUAGGAGCUCCUGCUGCAUGGUGGGGGUUGGAAAGUUUCGGCGGUUGGGGAUGGACUCGCGGGUUAUCAGCUUGUUGGUGGGGUAGUGGCUUACCAAGGCUUUGACGGGUAGCCGGCCUGAGAGGGUGACCGGCCACAUUGGGACUGAGAUACGGCCCAGACUCCUACGUGAGGCAGCAGUGGGGAAUAUUGCACAAUGGUCCGAAGCCUGAUGCAACAACGCCGCGUGCGGGAUGACGUCCUUCGGGUUGUAAACCGCUUUCGCCUGUGACGAAGCGUGAGUGACGGUAAUGGGUAAAGAAGCACCGGCUAACUACGUG
This 468-nucleotide ribosomal RNA is filed under the name uncultured bacterium. RNAcentral's name for it is "partial 16S ribosomal RNA". It matches the Rfam family "Bacterial small subunit ribosomal RNA", at positions 28 to 507 of the family's 1533-position model. The record is from RNAcentral.